CUCCGCCUUCCCGUCUGAGCGUGCGGUCGAAUGAAAAUGCGCCGGGGAAAGGAGGGGUUCAGCUGCUGUCAUUAUCACAUCUUAUCCAACCAGAAGAUAUAUGUAUUGGAUAUUUACCCUCUAACUCAGGGUGAUGCUUCUGAGGAAAUGGAUUUAAACUAUAGCACUUCAUGUCUGUCAGAUAUUCAGCAUAGUUCCUUCGAGAUGCCAGGAGGGAAUUUCAGGAUCUGGACCCUGUGCAACAUGGACAUACAUCAUUGUUUGCCUAUUGUCCCUUAGUCUUAGAAAACAAGGCUGAUUGUUACAAUGAUGGGGUGAACAAGAAGCAGAAACUUACAUAUGUGGGGACUGUGGGAGUAACUCCUUAAAGCAGCUAAGCCUUUCUACAGGUUCUAGUGGUUGAACUUUGCAUAUAUAUGUCAAGCAGAGUUUUUGCAUUUUGUUUUGUUUUUGACUGUUGGAUUCCACUAUUAACAUUUUUUCCUAUACUGUAAUGCAUUCUUAGGCAUAUUUAUUAAGAAGAAAAGAAUAGCAAAGCUGGAAGAGCAUAGUAAUUGAGCCUUUCUGUCUAACCUCUGGUGCAUACGGAAUCCAAAUGAAAGUAUCCCUGAUAGAUGUUUUUCCAUUCUCUGUUUGAACAUAACCAGUGAACUCACCUCUCUUUUCAAUAAUUGGACCCAAUGUUUAGCUGUUCUUGUUAAUUAGAAGUGUUCCUAAUAGUCAACCAACAUCCAUCUUCUAUAACUUAAAGACCAUUAUUCUGAGUCCUGCACAAUGGAAGGAAAGAGAACAGAUGUUGAUCAUCUGUAUCAUAUUCUUUCAGGUACUUGGAAAGAGCUACUGUGUACCUUGUGAGUUGUCUUUUCUCAAAGCUAAAGUUAACAACUUAGCUCACUGUCUUCUUGCAAAAUGUUUUCAGUCCCCUAAUCAUCUUCGUUGUCAUUAUUUGCACCUAUUCAUGUUUGUCUGAAUUUUUAUUACCAUAUGGAGCUCCUUGCUGGACACAACACUUGUGAUGCAGUCUGACCACUAUAGAAUAAAGUGAAAUAUUCGUUCCCAUGAUUUGAAAUCUUUUAGUGAUAGUGAUACUGCCUUUUCAAUGUUACCUGUUACCUUUUUGCAGUGGUGGAAUUCAAAUAUGUGAACAACCAGUUCUCUGUGUGGAUGCCGCUUCCAGAAAUCCGUUCUGGGCCUGGGCAACAAAAAAAUAGCUACCGGUUCUGCCGAACUGGUACUAACCAGCUGAAUCCCACCACUGCCUUUUUGCCAUUUUCAUGGAAUUUGUUUCUUGAUUACUAAUAUGCUUAUUUUUAUUUUUUUUUAGAUACAUACAGUACAUAUAGAAAAGCAGCUUGGAUACAUUUGAUGUUAUCCAGCAUAUUCUGUCAUUACAUUUUCCCAUUAAGUUUAUUUAUCUUAUAGACUAUAUUAAUAGAAAAAAUUCUAUUCAGUUUUCUUAGUGAAUUGGUUUUGUUUUUUUAUAGGUAGAAAAUAUCAUGAUGGCUUAUAGUAUUUCCAUGCUUUCUUGAGAAAGGGUCUAGCUCUGUUUAAUGCAAAGAAUCCAGAAUCUGGUUUGGGAAAAGGAUUCUUGUGCCUUAAAAUAAACAUUUCUCAUGGCUUGUGUUUAUUUUGAACUAUUAAGAAUGCAGACAUCUGUACCAGCAACAGUUAGGGAGAAAUAGUCUUUCCUAACCGAUCAACAGUGCAAUUCUCUACUGCCUUCCCUAAGUCAUGAAUCCAGUGAAACGUAUUAGAUUUUUAUCUCACCUUUAUUAUUUUUAUAACUAACGUAAGUAGUGAACACACCUAAUACUCCUUCCUCCUUCUGUUUUCUCCACAACAACCCUGUGAAGUGGAUGAAACUGAGAGAGAGAAUGACUAACCUAAAGGAACCCAGCUUUCGUGACUAAAGCAAAACUAGAACUUACAGUCUUCUGCUUUCUAGCCUGGUAUCCCUUUAUGAUUAUUCUUCUGAGCGUGAGUGAAGGGAUUUAAAUGGAAGCUUGAAAAUGAAUGUUAUUUUUAUAAAUAACUUAAGGUGGCAUUUCUUCUCAGAAGUGAGUUCAAGUAUGUUCUUAUUUUCAAAUUAUGUCCAGCUUCACUACUGUUGUUUAUGUACAUUUGUCAAAUCAGAAAUAAAAUCCGACUAGAAAAAUAAAUCAAUGUUGUGGCUAAAAAAACAAGGUAUGUGAGGAAAUGUGGUAUUGGUCAGCAAGACAAAUACUGAACUCCAUUUAAAGUGUAA
Molecule: long non-coding RNA, 2245 nt
Organism: Crotalus tigris (Tiger rattlesnake)
Lineage: Eukaryota; Metazoa; Chordata; Lepidosauria; Squamata; Viperidae
Exons: 3
Source: RefSeq, a predicted model, not a curated record